CCCUUAGAUGGCCUGGGCUGCACGCGGGCUACAAUGGUAUAUUCAGCGUGAGUUGUUUACCGAAAGGUAGAUCAAAUCUUCAAAUUAUACCGUACUUGGGAUUGGACAUUGCAAUUGUUGUCCAUGAACGAGGAAUUCCUAGUAAGUGCAUGUCAUUAGCGUGCGCUGAUUACGUCCCUGCCCUUUGUACACACCGCCCGUCGCUCCUACCGAUUGGGUGCUGGGGUGAACAUUGUGGAGAUUUGAGCUUCGGCUUGGUCAAAGCAAUGUGAAUCUUGCCGCCUAGAGGAAGGAGAAGUCGUAACA
This 306-nucleotide ribosomal RNA is filed under the name uncultured eukaryote. RNAcentral's name for it is "partial 18S ribosomal RNA". It matches the Rfam family "Eukaryotic small subunit ribosomal RNA", at positions 1470 to 1796 of the family's 1831-position model. The record is from RNAcentral.